Molecule: ribosomal RNA, 424 nt
Filed under: Verrucomicrobiota bacterium
Lineage: Bacteria; Pseudomonadati; Verrucomicrobiota
Description: Verrucomicrobia bacterium partial 16S ribosomal RNA
Rfam family: Bacterial small subunit ribosomal RNA
Source: RNAcentral
UGAGGAAUAUUGGUCAAUGGACGCAAGUCUGAACCAGCCAAGUAGCGUGCAGGAUGACGGCCCUAUGGGUUGUAAACUGCUUUUAUAUGGGGAUAAAGUGGGGAACGUGUUCCCUUUUGCAGGUACCAUAUGAAUAAGGACCGGCUAAUUCCGUGCCAGCAGCCGCGGUAAUACGGAAGGUUCGGGCGUUAUCCGGCUUUAUUGGGUUUAAAGGGAGCGUAGGCCGUUUGGUAAGCGUGUUGUGAAAUGUAGGAGCUCAACUUCUAGAUUGCAGCGCGAACUGUCAGACUUGAGUGCGCACAACGUAGGCGGAAUUCAUGGUGUAGCGGUGAAAUGCUUAGAUAUCAUGAAGAAAUCCGAUUGCGAAGGCAGCUUACGGGAGCGCAACUGACGCUGAAGCUCGAAGGUGCGGGUAUCGAACAGG